GGGGGUGUACUUGGCUUCGACGGGGUUAAAGAGAUCGUAAAUUGCGUACCGUGUUGCUGACACCACGAUAAAAAGUUAGAAAAACUCAAAUGGCGAAAACUACGCCUUAGCCGCUUAAUUUAGUUAAGUAGCCGUUCUCUGCCUCCUCUCAUACCGGGCGGCAGUUGAGCGACGCACCAGGUAUGAUAGCUGUGCAGAUUGUCCGGGUUUGUACCGCAAAAUAACACCGGAAUAGCUGAUCAUGAUCCUGUCCGCCGGAGCCUGUAUCAGUAAAACUCAAAUGACGGUACUACGUGCGUAGACGUUUACGAAGCGUUAACUUCGGACCCGGGUUCGACUCCCGGCACCUCCACCA
This 355-nucleotide transfer-messenger RNA is filed under the name uncultured bacterium. Its description in RNAcentral is "transfer-messenger RNA, SsrA". It matches the Rfam family "transfer-messenger RNA". Rfam says of the family: Bacterial tmRNA, also known as 10Sa RNA or SsrA, is named for its dual tRNA and mRNA-like properties. Its role is to liberate the mRNA from a stalled ribosome. To accomplish this part of the tmRNA is used as a reading frame that ends in a translation stop signal. The record is from RNAcentral.